This 81-nucleotide transfer RNA is filed under the name Polyopes affinis. Its description in RNAcentral is "tRNA-Leu". It matches the Rfam family "tRNA". From Rfam's summary of the family: Transfer RNA (tRNA) molecules are approximately 80 nucleotides in length. The record is from RNAcentral. Lineage: Eukaryota; Rhodophyta; Florideophyceae; Halymeniales; Halymeniaceae.
GCGGAUAUGACGAAAUUGGUAGACGUAUUAGAUUUAGAUUCUAAUGAUUAAAUCGUGAGAGUUCAAAUCUCUCUAUCCGUA